Lycium barbarum (goji berry) is the source of this 1362-nucleotide long non-coding RNA. RefSeq lists it as uncharacterized. The transcript is spliced from 4 exons. The record is from RefSeq and is a predicted model, not a curated record. NCBI's taxonomy places the organism in Eukaryota, Viridiplantae, Streptophyta, Magnoliopsida, Solanales, Solanaceae.
UGCCGUCUCUUUCUUUGCACUUUAGAGAGUGCUUCCGCAGUUGUCAUAGGCACUGCUCUCAAGUCUCAAUCAGUGUUCUAGCUGCAGGUUCACUUUCUCCCUCUACAAAACCUACACAGCAAUCUAAACCUUUUAACAAUGGCAAGCAAGGAGCCUGAGCACGAACACAGAGAAGAUGAAGAAGCCACCGGAGCCGAUGACGAAGAUACCGGAGCUCAGGUUGCGCCGAUUGUACGGCUUGAGGAAGUAGCCGUAACUACUGGCGAAGAGAACGAAGAUGCUAUCCUUGAUUUGUAUGUAAUUUGUCUUUUUAGACGCUACAGAGUCCGCCCUUUUGUAACAUUUGAACAGGCGCAAGUAUUUACCACUAUAGAAAACUAAACAUGCCAUGUAAUAUUUAUGUCUAACGUUGAAGCCGUGCUCUUAGCUGAGGUCCUGGAUAGCUUAAUGAUUCCUUCGAUCAAUUGUCUGUAACAAUGAUAUUGUGUUGGCACGGGCCAUACCCACUAGCAAGAUAAUUUGAUAAUUCGUGGUUAAAUAGGAUUGGGAUUAGGAUUAGGGGGGAAUCUUAAGGUUUAGCACGAAAGAUGUUUGCUAAUUUCUGUGUUUCGUAUAGUGAGAUUUUUUCUCCUACUCUUUUAUAUCUAAAGAACUUGAGUUUCAUCUUCAGAUACAACUCCGCCCAUUAAGCAUAUCCAAGAACAACUGUCGAACAAACUGUUUUGUAUUAAACUAAAAAAAUCAGUCUGGAGUAAUUCCGACAGCGAGCAUACGAAACUAUUGGUUUUGUUUUAUGUUGAAAAGGAACAUAUGUUCUCAACAAGUGCCGGUGAAAGAAGCCAAAAAAAAAGAAAGAGUGUCAUCGAGUACAACCGAACAAGAAAUGGAAGAAGCAGUUGUCAAAUUUGAACAUCACGCGAGAUGCUGAAACCAGAACCGCCGACAGCAUUAUGGAAUAUAUAAAAGGAGUUCAUGGUCAUUACGUUUGUUAACUUUGAGUCGCUUCCACCAACUUAGCAUUGUAAUAAGCCCUUGGGAUGCCAAUGCACUUUCUUUCUGAUUCAGAUUAGAAAAGGCAAAACAAACCAAAGAGUUUGGUGCUUCUAUGACAUUGUUCAAGAAUGGUACAAGGCUUAAGAAAAAAAUAGGACGAUGUGAAGUCUUUCAGUUGAGUGAUUUGUGAGAUGCCACCACAGAACCCCAGAGCACUGCAGAUGGCAGCACCUGUGCUGAGUCAUUUGUGACUCUGGGAUCUCUCUUCUAGAAGCAAUGGGACACUGUUUUCCUCUUUAUAAGCAUUUGUUAUUAUUCUUUCCUAGGUGUAGAAGCCAAAAUCUGAAGCAAUAAACACAAAUUUUCUUC